Molecule: transfer RNA, 76 nt
Filed under: Candidatus Magnetovum chiemense
Lineage: Bacteria; Pseudomonadati; Nitrospirota; Nitrospiria; Nitrospirales; Nitrospiraceae
Description: Candidatus Magnetoovum chiemensis tRNA-Arg
Rfam family: tRNA
About the family: Transfer RNA (tRNA) molecules are approximately 80 nucleotides in length.
Source: RNAcentral
AGCGCCUGUAGCUCAGAGGAGAGAGCAAUUGCCUUCUAAGCAGUGGGCCGGGGGUUCGAGUCCCUCCAGGCGCGCC